Motacilla alba alba is the source of this 3188-nucleotide RNA transcript. It is a transcript of the gene named solute carrier family 22 member 15, with no coding region annotated. The record is from RefSeq and is a predicted model, not a curated record. The transcript is spliced from 11 exons. NCBI's taxonomy places the organism in Eukaryota, Metazoa, Chordata, Aves, Passeriformes, Motacillidae.
CCUCCUCCUCCUCCUCCGUCUCCUUCUGCUCCCGCUCCGCGAGGGCCCGGCCGCCGCUCCGCGCCUCGCCCCGCCCCGGGAAUGCGCUGCUCGGCGGCCGCUCGUAGGAGCUGCGCGGCGGGCGGGGAGCGGGAUGGAGGUGGAGGAGGCGUUCCCGCUGGUCGGGCAGAUGGGCCCUUACCAGGUGUACCUGUGCGUCCUGCUGGCCGUGCUCCUCCAGCUCUAUGUGGCCACUGAAGCCAUUCUCAUCGCAUUGGUGGGUGCAACUCCUCCCUACCACUGGGAUCUCCAAGGGCUCUCAGCUAAUCAGAGCCAUGGCAACCAUUCAGUGAGCGAGCAGGGGGCAUUUGGGGAAUGGCUUCUGACUGCCAACGGCAGCGAGGUGCGUAAGCACGUACACUUCGGCAGCAGCUUCACGUCCAUAGUCUCUGAGUGGUUUUUAAUUGGCAAUGCAUCAUACAAAGUCAGUGCUGCCAGUUCUUUCUACUUCAGUGGUGUGUUUGUUGGAGCCAUCUCCUUUGGCCAGCUGUCUGAUCGUUUUGGGAGGAAGAAAGUCUAUCUCACAGGUUUUGCUCUUGACAUCUUGUUUGCCAUUGCAAAUGGAUUCUCACCCUCGUAUGAAUUCUUUGCCGUUUCCCGAUUCUUGGUAGGGAUGAUGAAUGGUGGGAUGUCACUGGUAGCCUUUGUUCUACUGAAUGAGUGUGUGGGUACAGCCUACUGGGCAUUAGCAGGUUCUAUUGGUGGCUUGUUCUUUGCUGUUGGAAUUGCCCAGUAUGCUUUAUUAGGGUAUUUCAUUCGUUCCUGGAGGACUCUGGCUGUUGUGGUUAAUCUGGAAGGAACAGUCGUCUUUCUUCUCUCUCUAUUCAUUCCCGAGUCCCCCCGCUGGCUCUAUUCCCAGGGCCGUCUGAACGAGGCAGAAGAUGCCCUCUACCUCAUUGCAAAGAGGAACCGCAAGCAGAAAUGCACUUUUUCAUUAAAACUCCCAGCAGAGAGGAGCUCCAGAGAGGCUGGCAGCUUUCUGGACCUGUUCCGAUACAGGAUUCUCCUGGGACGCACCUUGAUCAUGAUGUUCACCUGGUUUGUGUGCAGCUUGGUUUACUACGGUCUUACCCUUAAUGUGGGUGACUUAGGUGGAAGUAUUUAUGCCAAUUUAGCCUUGUCAGGCCUGAUAGAAAUCCCAGCGUACCCAAUCUGUAUUUACUUGAUCAACCAGAAAUGGUUUGGUCGGAAGCGAACAUUGAGUGCAUUUCUGUUCCUGGGAGGAUUGGCUUGUCUUAUUGUCAUGUUUCUGCCUAAGAAAAGAGAUACUGGAGUGUUUGCAGUGGUAAAUAGUCGCUCUCUGUCUUUGCUGGGAAAACUGACAAUCAGUGCUGCUUUUAAUAUUGUCUACAUCUACACAUCAGAACUUUAUCCCACAGUCAUAAGGAAUGUUGGAAUGGGUGCCUGCUCCAUGUUUUCCCGUGUUGGUGGAAUCAUUGCGCCUUUCGUCCCUUCAUUGGUUUGUCGGAACUUCUGUUACGUAUAUUUUUGUUUUGUGGUUCUGGUGUAUCAGAAGCUUACAGAGAUGGGAAUGUUUGGGAUAAAUUUCAUUUAUAAAUUAAGAUACAUAAAUUGCCUAUCUUAACAGUAUCAUGGUAAGCCAAAGGCUUAGUAUAUUCUGUGUGAUUAGACAAAACCUCAGCAUUAUUUAAGUUAGAAGGUAUUUUAGCUCUGUAAGAAUUUUGGGACCUAUCUAGUGGACCUUAAAAUAUAAUUAUUUCAAAUCACCAAGAUGUUGAUACCAAAUUUUAAACCCUGCACAAGCAAUAGCAAAAUACCCAUGUGGUUAAAAGAACUACUGCAUCAAAAUUAAGCAUAUGGGCUCAAUAACUCAUAUUUUUGAGAAAAAGUUUGGUUUAGUGUCAGUACACUUCAUUAAAUAUCCAUGGGUUAUAAAUAUCAGCAAAUCAGUUUGCCUUUCAGUAAAUGAAGUUGAUGUGGAGAGCUGAUACACUGGCAAGGCAAAGAAAGAUUCUAAAGAACAAAACAUGGGAAUGAUACCAUUACUUUCCUGUGCUUAGUGUGUUAUGUGUAUGCAGGAAAAAGUGUGCCAAUUUUUCCCAGCUGUUUGCUGAGGCGCAGUGACAAUUCCUUUAAUGUGACAGAUUUCAUCUCAGGUAAUUUUCCUCUCUGCCAUUUGCCAUUUUACAUGUGAGGCAGAAGGUUAGCAAAAGGGCAGGUGAGCACAGGGAGCCCUUUAAUCUCCAGAACGAAGCACUGGGCAGGUGAGAGCAUGAGCACCUCUGGGGAGCAACAGGCAAAGCCAAGACUGCUGCCAGUCUGCCAGGUGGAUUUAAUAGGCAGCUUUUAUGUGGCAGUUGGGGCAUUCAUUAUAUUGUGUCUGCCGUAGAUUUGAUACUGCAUGAGAUACAAAUCUUGGAUCAUAAUGUUUGAAAGGGGUCCAUGAAAAGAAAAGUAAUUCUGGUUACAUAACAAAUGAACCCUGAUUUGAGAAAAUAAUCAAUAAUUUUUGUGUUUCAUAAUUUCUUGCAGUAUUUUGAAGAAUUUUCAGUGUCUUUUUUUUGGAGAUCUCAUAAUAGUAAAAAUAGAAGUUAACUGCUGAGAUAAGAGAUGAAAUGUUGGUCUUUUAUUUGAUCACAGCCUGUUAUUUUCAUCAAUUUACAAUUGCUCUCAGCAAUGUGAGUUCUUGAAACAAACAGCUAAACUCUUUCCCUGUUUUAAAAUAAGCCUUCUUUACUGUGGAAACAGGGACAGGCAUCAGAAGAGGAGUAUGAACAUUGCUUGGGCUGUCACAGGUGAUGCCAGGAAUGCCAAAGCUCAGUUGAAGCUAAAACUAGCAAGGACCAUAAAUAGGGAUUCUGUCAGCUGAAGGAAACAUGCUUGCUGCUGAAUGGGAGAGGCAUCCCGUUGGUGGGUGACAUGGAAUAAGCUGAAAUACUUGUGCUUCAGUCUUGAGAGACAAAGCUUCUCUCCAACACUCUGCCUGUCAGCACAGUUGAGGAAGCAGAAGGCCAGCAAACAGUAGGAGGAGCAGUAGGUUCAAGAACACUUACAGCUGAAAGCUUUCCAUUCCAUGGGAAAUCUGUACAGUGGUCUCUGCCUUACAUUGUGUUUGGAGCAACUGGUCUGUUGUCUGGGCUCUUAAGCUUGUUGUUGCCAGAGACCUUAAACAGCCCUUUGCUAGAAAC